RNAcentral lists this ribosomal RNA (437 nucleotides) under Hystrix brachyura. RNAcentral's name for it is "partial small subunit ribosomal RNA". It matches the Rfam family "Bacterial small subunit ribosomal RNA", at positions 767 to 1406 of the family's 1533-position model. The record is from RNAcentral. Lineage: Eukaryota; Metazoa; Chordata; Mammalia; Rodentia; Hystricidae.
UCAAACUGGGAUUAGAUACCCCACUAUGCUUAGGCGUAAACACAAAAAAUUCAUAACAAAAUUAUUCGCCAGAGAACUACUAGCAACAGCUUAAAACUCAAAGGACUUGGCGGUGCUUCACAACCAUCUAGAGGAGCCUGUUCUAUAAUCGAUAAUCCCCGAUAAACCUCACCACUUCUUGCUAAUCCAGCUUAUAUACCGCCAUCUCCAGCAAACCCUAACAAGGAGAAAAAGUAAGCGCAAGUACACACGUAAACACGUUAGGUCAAGGUGUAGCCCAUGGAGUGGGAAGAAAUGGGCUACAUUUUCUAGUCAAGAAUAUGUACGACAAUCUUUAUGAAAAUUAAAGAUCUAAGGAGGAUUUAGUAGUAAAUUAAGAAUAGAGCGCUUAAUUGAAUAAGGCCAUGAAGCACGUACACACCGCCGGUCCACCCUCC